This is a non-coding RNA of Aegilops tauschii subsp. strangulata, 2399 nucleotides long. Lineage: Eukaryota; Viridiplantae; Streptophyta; Magnoliopsida; Poales; Poaceae. The record is from RefSeq and is a predicted model, not a curated record.
CACAUACACCCCUAGUUGCGAGUCAUUGGUCGGCAUGCAACCGGGUACCUUCGACAAACACAUACACCCUUAGUUGCGAGUUGCUGGUCGGGAGGCAACUGGGUCCCUCGACAAACACACACCCUAGUUGUGAGUUGAUGGUCGACAUGCAAUUGGGGACACUCAACAAACACACACAUCCCUAGUUGCGCGUCAAAGACUUGCAACUAGUAAAAAAAAAGUUGUCCCCAGUUUGGUUGUAGACAAAAAAAUCUUGAAUUUUAAAAAAAGUACAUCAAAAUUAAAAACAAGAAAGGAAACAGAAAACUAAAAAGAGAGCAUAAAAAUAGAAAAUAACAUGAAUUUAGAAAAACUUCAUGGGUUCAAAACAAAUAAAUGGAAAGGGAUGAAAGAAAAACUACACCCUCGGGCAUUGCCUGUCGCAACUAGGUCGGGCAUGAGUUCUGUGUUGGUGUGGACAUGCAACUGGGUUGAGCAAAUUGUGUGUCGGUGUUCGAGUACAACUACAUAGGUGUAUUUGGUUGGGUGCGUAUGUCGAAGAUGGACAUACACCUAGGUCGAACGAGUUAUGUGUUAGAGUUGGACAAACAACUAUAUAUAGAUACUGGGUCGAGCACGAAUUGCGUGUCGAAAGUGGACAUGCAACUAGAUCAGGCAUGAGUUGCGUGCUAAUAUUGAACGCGCAACUAAAUAAGGGUCUGGGGAAUUUGAUGAUAGACAUGUAACUGACACCACCAAAAAAUAAAGAAUUUAAAAAACCAUGAAUCGGAAACAAAUAAAUUUAAUAGAUAAAGGAAAAAAACAAACAAAAAAUAACGCAGCCCAGCUCCUUCAAUUCUGCCCGUACAAAAGGAACAAAAACAACGGAUCACAAGAACAUAUAACGUGAUUCUCAAAAAAAAACUCAUAACGUGUUCUAAAAAACCCACAUAUAUAACAAAAAAAAGGCCCACAUGCCCAGACCCGUACAGGAAAAGGGACUCUCGGUGUGCGCGAUCGAAAAAACUGCCCCAAAGGACACUAGCGACACGAGACUUAGAGACAAAAAAAACAUUUUGUACAAAUCUUGAAGCCCCUAAUUAUGUGGUGAACAACUUAGAUGUGACAUCCUUAAAAAACAUUUAGAUAUGAAUUAGUCAUUUGUUAAAAAAAACUUGAUGUGGGACUAUUUAAUAGUAUCUAACAUAUAAAGCCUGCUAUGCUACCCGCCAUUCCAGAGCAACCGCGCGCUACGCCUGUUGGGCCGAACGAUCUAUCUACUGUAGCUGUGUUUUGGCUGCUGGCAGCAGGUCAGCCGUCGGUUGUUUUUCACGUUUCUUAGUUGCUUCAUAAGUGGAUGACGAGUGGGGCUGGCUAUGUGUGGGGUCAAUACAACAUAAUGGUUUUUCUCCUGCCCUGCGUAAAAGAAGAAAAAACCUAGACCGACGAGGCGACGCAGCUUCCUCCUCCCCUCGGUCUCUUCUCGCCUCCUCCUCUCCCCCCUCUCGCUCGCCGCCGCCGCCAUGGCCUCCCCUGCCGCUCAUCUCCACCUCCUCAUGCGAGCCCAAUCGCUGCCCAGUCCAUCCCCUCAGCCCAUGGAUUCCGGGGCAUCCCCUCUCGGCCACCACCUCUCCUUCUCUCUUUGUUUCCCCAGAUCCCGAUCUGGAGCGGGAGAGACAGAUACGGCCAAAAGCGCCGGUGCCGGCGUGGGAUGAUAAAGGCCGCCACCUCUCCUCACCUCCUCCCAUGUUCCGGUGGCGGCACCGGGGAAGAAAGGAGCAGCAACCAUAGCAGGCACGGUGCUGGCAAACGCGAGCGGCAGCAGCCGCAGCAGGAGGCAGUGUUGAUGAAGCGGCAGUCUGUGUCGUCGCCGCCGCUGUCGUACUCUGGGAGAAGGUCAAGCCAACAUGAAUCAACAACGCCACAGAAACGACCAUGGGUCCUGGAGCCGAGACCUUCGCAAUAAGCAUCGCACAGACCUGGAGAGUUUAGCGUUGACGUCACGGACAUUGAGAACACUUUGCAUUACCCUCAAAAAAGAGAACACUUUGCAUUAUUUGUGCUAGCCAUUGGAGAGAGUAUAAGAAGCACAUGUUCUCGUGUUCUGAAAGAAGUUGUUGGUUUCGCUACCUGUUUGCUUCUCUUGGUAAAUGAGGGCUCACAUGAGAAGGUAGCUAGAUGUUAGACUCGAACCUACGUGAGUGGGAGCAUUCGUCUACCCUGCCUGUGGUGCGUGAGCUCUUGCAGCAGGAUAAACCAUUAUAUUUCGUCUUCAAUGCAGCAUAUGCAGGAACUGCUUUGGCUCUGGCUUGCACACCUUUGUUGUAUUUAGGGCCUCAUAUUGCCCUUUUCACAAUGAAAGCGGUUCAGUGUGGCCGGGUUGAUUUAAAGAGUGCUCCUUAUGACAUUAUUCUUUUUAA